GGGUUGGGAGCAUUAAACCAUCAUCUCUUCACAGUGGCCAUGAUACAGUCAGUACCUCUACUCCUGCUACUGGCAGCCAUGUCCUCACCAGUGUUUGGGACUGAGAUAUCAGUACUAGAGGGAACUUCUGUUACCCUUGUCUGCAGAUACAGUGUCGAUAAAAAGCUUGAGACAUGCUGGAGCAGAUCUUGUGGAACUUUUCAGUGUACUGAUCCCAUAAUGGAAGAUCAAUCCAAAUAUAAAAUUAACGCUGAAGUUGGAACAGUGAAUCUCACCAUUUUAAAGCUACAGCCGACAGACGGUGGGAGCUAUUGCUGCAGAGUGCAUGAUCUUAAACAAUUCUACAGCCUGAGGGUAGUCAAAGGUUGUGUGAGGGAGCUACUGGACAAAGUCCAUUUUCUGGGGAACAACAUUGCGAAUCAGCCAUUUACAACCGAAAAUGCAAGUCAGUGCAGGCAGGAAUGCACCAAAAAUGACACAUGCCAGUACUUCACAUUUGUUGAUGAAAUCGCAGG
This is a long non-coding RNA of Salvelinus fontinalis (brook trout), 515 nucleotides long. RefSeq lists it as uncharacterized. The transcript has 3 exons. Lineage: Eukaryota; Metazoa; Chordata; Actinopteri; Salmoniformes; Salmonidae. The record is from RefSeq and is a predicted model, not a curated record.